Molecule: ribosomal RNA, 460 nt
Filed under: uncultured bacterium
Lineage: Bacteria
Description: partial 16S ribosomal RNA
Rfam family: Bacterial small subunit ribosomal RNA
Source: RNAcentral
CCUACGGGAGGCAGCAGUGAGGAAUAUUGGACAAUGGGCGCUAGCCUGAACCAGCCAAGUAGCGUGAAGGAUGACUGCCCUAUGGGUUGUAAACUUCUUUUAUAUGGGAAUAAAGUGCAGUAUGUAUACUGCUUUGCAUGUACCUUAUGAAUAAGGAUCGGCUAACUCCGUGCCAGCCGCCGCGGUACGACGGAGGAUCCGAGCGUUAUCCGGAUGUAUUGGGUGUAAAGGGAGCGUAGGCGGGUUGUUAAGACAGUUGUGAAAGUUUGCGGCUCAACCGUAGAAUUGCAGUUGAUACUGGCAGCCUUGAGUACAGUAGAGGUAGGUGGAAUUCGUGGUGUAGCGGUGAAAUGCUUAGAUAUCACGAAGAACUCCGAUUGCGAAGGCAGCCUGCUGGACUGUAACUGACGCUGAUGCUCGAAAGUGUGGGUAGCAAACAGGAUUAGAUACCCUUGUAGUC